This 365-nucleotide long non-coding RNA is filed under the name Triticum aestivum (bread wheat). RNAcentral's name for it is "long non-coding RNA (TAES_LNC020926)". Lineage: Eukaryota; Viridiplantae; Streptophyta; Magnoliopsida; Poales; Poaceae. The record is from RNAcentral.
UAGCAAACGAAGUGUAAUAAUAGAUGGCAACCACUUGAUUCAAAGCCGGGAAAGGGUCAUUUUCUAAACAUGCAACACAAUAUCUCUCAAAAUCUAUAAAUCCACAAGAUCUGACUUAACAUCAUAAACGGAGUAGUACAGAACAAGUUGCAAGACACAGGAUAUCGAUAGCUUGGUAUUGUUCCAUCCUUGAACGAGCAUGGAAUUACAGCCUCCUUCCUCUUCUACCACCCUUCCGGCGGGUGCUGUCAGUUGGGACCGGGGUAACAUCCUCUGCUCAACACAAAAAGAACAUCAUGGAUUAAUCCGCUGUAUGACAUCAUAAACUAAAGUGGAAAAUAAAACAUCCUCUGCUCAACACAAAA